GUCCCAGUAGCUCAGCUGGAUAGAGCGACAGCCUCCUAAGCUGUAGGUCGUGAGUUCGAAUCUCGCCUGGGACGCUA
This 77-nucleotide transfer RNA is filed under the name Cytobacillus oceanisediminis. Its description in RNAcentral is "Bacillus oceanisediminis tRNA-Arg". It matches the Rfam family "tRNA". From Rfam's summary of the family: Transfer RNA (tRNA) molecules are approximately 80 nucleotides in length. Their secondary structure includes four short double-helical elements and three loops (D, anti-codon, and T loops). Further hydrogen bonds mediate the characteristic L-shaped molecular structure. tRNAs have two regions of fundamental functional importance: the anti-codon, which is responsible for specific mRNA codon recognition, and the 3' end, to which the tRNAs corresponding amino acid is attached (by aminoacyl-tRNA synthetases). tRNAs cope with the degeneracy of the genetic code in two manners: having more than one tRNA (with a specific anti-codon) for a particular amino acid; and 'wobble' base-pairing, i.e. permitting non-standard base-pairing at the 3rd anti-codon position. The record is from RNAcentral. RNAcentral also lists the same sequence under 2 other names. Lineage: Bacteria; Bacillati; Bacillota; Bacilli; Caryophanales; Bacillaceae.